This 134-nucleotide small RNA is filed under the name Salmonella enterica subsp. enterica serovar Infantis. RNAcentral describes it as "RtT sRNA". It matches the Rfam family "RtT RNA". From Rfam's summary of the family: This family represents a bacterial cis-regulatory element known as RtT RNA. The exact function of RtT is unknown although it is thought that it may be involved in changing the cellular response in relation to amino acid starvation. The record is from RNAcentral. Lineage: Bacteria; Pseudomonadati; Pseudomonadota; Gammaproteobacteria; Enterobacterales; Enterobacteriaceae. RNAcentral also lists the same sequence under 53 other names.
UGUAUCUGAAGUCUGACGAGGAUGAGAACCUCCGGGGGCAAGAGGUUCGACUCGAGCGAAGCGAGAGAACGUUGCGCCAGCAACGGCCCGCAGGGCGAGCCACGCAGUGGCGAGUCAUCCUCUAUCACCGACCA